Molecule: ribosomal RNA, 253 nt
Filed under: uncultured bacterium
Lineage: Bacteria
Description: partial 16S ribosomal RNA
Rfam family: Bacterial small subunit ribosomal RNA
Source: RNAcentral
UACGGAGGGUGCGAGCGUUGUUCGGAAUCACUGGGCGUAAAGGGCGUGUAGGCGGUCCGCUAAGUCUGAUGUGAAAGCCCGGGGCUCACCCCCGGAAGGGCAUUGGAAACUGGCAGACUCGAGUCCCGGAGAGGAGGGUGGAAUUCCCGGUGUAGCGGUGAAAUGCGUAGAGAUCGGGAGGAAGGCCGGUGGCGAAGGCGGCGCUCUGGAACAUUUCUGACGCUGAGGCUCGAAAGCGUGGGGAGCAAACAGG